GCAUAUCAAUAAGCGGAGGAAAAGAAACCAACAGGGAUUGCCUCAGUUAACGGCGAAGUGAAGCGGCAACAGCUUCAAAUUUGAAAUCUGGCCUCACGGUCCGAGUUGUAAUUUGUAGAGGAUGCUUCGAGCAUGGUCUGGCCUAAGUUCCUUGGAACAGGACGUCAUAGAGGGUGAGAAUCCCGUAUGCGGCCAGGUGCCUACGCUCAUGUGAAGCUCCUUCGACGAGUCGAGUUGUUUGGGAAUGCAGCUCAAAAUGGGUGGUAAAUUUCAUCUAAAGCUAAAUAUUGGCCAGAGACCGAUAGCGCACAAGUAGAGUGAUCGAAAGAUGAAAAGCACUUUGGAAAGAGAGUUAAACAGUACGUGAAAUUGUUGAAAGGGAAGCGCUUGCAACCAGACUUGCGUGCGGCCGAUCAUCCGGUGUUCUCACCGGUGCACUCGGUCGCGCUCAGGCCAGCAUCGGUUUUGGUGGUUGGAUAAAGGCCCUAGGAAUGUAGCUUCUCUCGGGGAGUGUUAUAGCCUAGGGUGCAAUGCAGCCCACCGGGACCGAGGACCGCGCUUCGGCUAGGAUGCUGGCGUAAUGGUUGUAAGCGACCCGUCUUGAAACACGGACCAAGGAGUCUAACAUCUAUGCGAGUGUUUGGGUGUCAAACCCAUACGCGUAAUGAAAGUGAACGGAGGUGAGAACCCUUAAGGGUGCAUCAUCGACCGAUCCUGAUGUCUUCGGAUGGAUUUGAGUAAGAGCAUAGCUGUUGGGACCCGAAAGAUGGUGAACUAUGCCUGAAUAGGGUGAAGCCAGAGGAACUCUGGUGGAGGCUCGCAGCGGAUUCUGACGUGCAAAUCGAUUCGUCAAAUUUGGGCAUAAGGGGCGAAAGACUAAUCGAACCAUCUAGUAGCUGGUUCCUGCCGAA
This 911-nucleotide ribosomal RNA is filed under the name Pseudeurotium zonatum. RNAcentral's name for it is "LSU rRNA". It matches the Rfam family "Eukaryotic large subunit ribosomal RNA", at positions 38 to 965 of the family's 3401-position model. Lineage: Eukaryota; Fungi; Ascomycota; Leotiomycetes; Thelebolales; Pseudeurotiaceae. The record is from RNAcentral.